Scleropages formosus (Asian bonytongue) is the source of this 1563-nucleotide long non-coding RNA. The record is from Ensembl. Lineage: Eukaryota; Metazoa; Chordata; Actinopteri; Osteoglossiformes; Osteoglossidae.
UGAGAGCGUGCGAUUUGCAUACAGGUGAGGGAAGGGGACAUAAAGCGCUGGGCUAGGAGGGAGAGCGAGAGAGACGAGUGGAGGUGAAGUGAGCUUUUCACAGGGGUCAGGUCAAUAUUGGCAUUUCCAGAUCCCCUGGCAGCUGUCUGCAAUGCUCUGUAAUUAGCUGAAAGGGACGGAUUAGUCCUCGUCCCGGUGUCCCUCGGAAGACGAGGCCCACAUUCCCAGUAGAUGGCAGUAGCGUGUCCUUGUCGAAGCAACAGGUUGCAAGGGAGGUCGCUCUGAUUUUCAUGGCAGGGUUGCAGGUUUCUGAUAUUUUAUUUUUGCUGCAAAAGAAUGGCAGCUAAAAUAAAAAAAAAAAAAAAAAAAAAAAAAAAAGAAGAAAAAAUGUAUUUAGACCACAGUGCAACAUUGUUCCCUUUCCCUUAGGGUUAAGGUUAGGGUUACCCUAACCCUAAAAUUACUGCACACAGACGGUGUUAGGUUGGUUGCAGUUGUGUCCCUCAUAAAUGAUUUUGUACAGUGAUUGCUGAUGGGAUGAAAUACCUAAAGUUACAAUUUUAAUCGUUAAAUUAUUAAUAAUUUUUUAAUUUUUUGUGAGGUUUUCUGCAGGACGUAUACCUUUCCAUCUCAACUUUAUAUGGAUUUUCUCAAAGAGCGAGCGGGACAAAACCUAAACUUUCUUGUCCUGUGAGGCAAAGAUAAUAGGAAAUGUAUAUCAGUUCAUCUGGCAGUAAAAGUCCACCUCCAUGCCAAUCUCUCCAUCAGAAGACAAUGCUUACCUUGUUCCCCUGCAUUUCUCCCAGGUACCACUCAGCUCUCACAGUGACACACAUUUGUUGAUACAGGCAGUGUCAAAAAUUCAAAAAGAGAUGCAUGUCAGCAGUAAAAUGCAGUGUGGCAGACCCCGCCGGUGAUUGGAAACAGGCUCUUCCUCACUGUGUAAUGCCUCUUUACCUUACGGAGGAAUGCAGUGGCUCAGAGGAAGGGGGUCCCUCCAAGCACGCUGCGAGAACAUUGGAAUGGGUUUCCUCAUUGGUCAUCGUUUGGUCAGUGGAGGAGGGCUGGACUCUGACCAGGACACAACUCCACAGUCAACUGAGAGGUAAACAUCAAAUUCUGACAUUAAGUUGCCACCUGCUCUGUAUGUGUGGGCCCACUGCUGAAUGAUGGUAUGGAUUCUUAGGGCACUUUAGGUAGGUAUGUGGACGCGAUGUGGGCACGAUGUGGGCACGAUGUGGGCGCUCACCCAAGUUUAUAAGAUACCAACUCCAGCAUAAAACUUGAAUGUCUCAGCCAGUUUUUGUGUCAGUAAAGCAUUCAUUUAUUUAAAGAAUUAUUUGUAAGAACAACCAAGAUUCCAGCUGCACGCAAAUUAGUCUGUGGUGAACAGAUGGACAUACAGUCCAGAGGUCUUCAGGUCAAAACCAAAAAAGCACUCUUCUACACUUCAGAGUGGUACGUAAGUAAGGAUGUAAGAGAGUAAGUAAGGAAGUAAACUCUUCCAAUAAUAAUAAUAAUAAGAAUAAUAAUAAUGAAUUGCUUCAGCACCCAAUGGCCCAG